ACUCCUGCGGGAGGCAGCAGUGGGGAAUUUUGGACAAUGGGCGAAAGCCUGAUCCAGCCAUGCCGCGUGCAGGAUGAAGGCCUUCGGGUUGUAAACUGCUUUUGUACGGAACGAAACGGCCCUUUCUAAUAAAGAGGGCUAAUGACGGUACCGUAAGAAUAAGCACCGGCUAACUACGUGCCAGCAGCCGCGGUAAUACGUAGGGUGCAAGCGUUAAUCGGAAUUACUGGGCGUAAAGCGUGCGCAGGCGGUUAUGUAAGACAGUUGUGAAAUCCCCGGGCUCAACCUGGGAACUGCAUCUGUGACUGCAUAGCUAGAGUACGGUAGAGGGGGAUGGAAUUCCGCGUGUAGCAGUGAAAUGCGUAGAUAUGCGGAGGAACACCGAUGGCGAAGGCAAUCCCCUGGACCCGUACUGACGCUCAUGCACGAAAGCGUGGGGAGCAAACAGGAUUAGAAACCCGGGUAGUCCC
This 470-nucleotide ribosomal RNA is filed under the name uncultured organism. Its description in RNAcentral is "partial 16S ribosomal RNA". It matches the Rfam family "Bacterial small subunit ribosomal RNA", at positions 335 to 797 of the family's 1533-position model. The record is from RNAcentral.